GAAGAUGCGGUGUAUCCGCGGCUAGACGGAAAGACCCCGUGAACCUUUACUAUAGCUUCACAGUGAACUUUGAGCAUGUUUGUGUAGGAUAGCUGGGAGGCUUUGAAGUGGGAACGCCAGUUCUCAUGGAGCCAACCUUGAAAUACCAGCCUGACAUGUUUGAGGUUCUAACUUGGUCCCCUUAUCGGGGAUGAGGACACUGUGUGGUGGGUAGUUUGACUGGGGCGGUCUCCUCCCAAAGCGUAACGGAGGAGCACAAAGGUGGGCUAAGCAUGGUCGGACAUCAUGCGGUUAGUGUAAUGGCACAAGCCCGCUUAACUGCGAGACAGACACGUCGAGCAGGUACGAAAGUAGGUCAUAGUGAUCCGGUGGUUCUGUAUGGAAGGGCCAUCGCUCAACGGAUAAAAGGUACUCCGGGGAUAACAGGCUGAUACCGCCCAAGAGUUCACAUCGACGGCGGUGUUUGGCACCUCGAUGUCGGCUCAUCACAUCCUGGGGCUGAAGCCGGUCCCAAGGGUAUGGCUGUUCGCCAUUUAAAGUGGUACGCGAGCUGGGUUUAGAACGUCGUGAGACAGUUCGGUCCCUAUCUGCCGUGGGUGUUGGAUACUUGAGAGGAGCUGUCCCUAGUACGAGAGGACCGGGAUGGACGCACCUCUGGUGGACCUGUUGUUGCGCCAGCAGCAUAGCAGGGUAGCUAAGUGCGGAAAGGAUAACCGCUGAAAGCAUCUAAGCGGGAAGCCCCUUCCAAGAUGAGAUCUCCCUGGACCCUCGAGGUCCCUGAAGAGCCGUUCAAGACCAGGACGUUGAUAGGUCGGGUGUGUAAGCGCUGCGAGGCGUUGAGCUAACCGAUACUAAUUGCUCGUGC
Molecule: ribosomal RNA, 865 nt
Filed under: Pelagomonas calceolata
Lineage: Eukaryota; Pelagophyceae; Pelagomonadales; Pelagomonadaceae
Description: partial Bacterial large subunit ribosomal RNA
Rfam family: Bacterial large subunit ribosomal RNA
Source: RNAcentral